Thalassophryne amazonica is the source of this 98-nucleotide long non-coding RNA. RefSeq lists it as uncharacterized. The transcript is spliced from 3 exons. Lineage: Eukaryota; Metazoa; Chordata; Actinopteri; Batrachoidiformes; Batrachoididae. The record is from RefSeq and is a predicted model, not a curated record.
AGUCUGGAAGCAUGUGCGGGUGCUGCACUUUGCCGGAUCCAUGACACUACAGAAAGGCCUUGGGUCCUGGAUGGCAACCACCCAGGCAGACACCCAGG